RNAcentral lists this small nucleolar RNA (223 nucleotides) under Daphnia magna. Its description in RNAcentral is "small nucleolar RNA U3". It matches the Rfam family "Small nucleolar RNA U3". From Rfam's summary of the family: Small nucleolar RNAs (snoRNAs) are involved in the processing and modification of rRNA in the nucleolus. The record is from RNAcentral. Lineage: Eukaryota; Metazoa; Arthropoda; Branchiopoda; Diplostraca; Daphniidae.
AAGAUCAUACUUCACAGGAUCAUUUCUGUAGUAUAUCUUGACUUGUUUCCCACCAGAAACAUUUCUCCAAUCAACCCGCGAUGACGAGUAAUGACGCUGGCUUCUGAGAGUGAAACAGGUUGCGAUCGUAGCCACUUGCGUGGUAUCUGGUCGUCGCCAUUGAGGACCGUUUUCGGUGUUCCUUUGUGGCACACUGGAAGGAAACCGGCGUUUUCAGAGCGGU